Molecule: long non-coding RNA, 1228 nt
Organism: Numida meleagris (helmeted guineafowl)
Lineage: Eukaryota; Metazoa; Chordata; Aves; Galliformes; Numididae
Exons: 4
Source: RefSeq, a predicted model, not a curated record
UGUCUGCCUACAAGCAAUGCACUGAAAUAAUUAGGGUCCCUGCAGUGAGACUCAAGCCAACAUUUCUGGGCAGUUUCUAAAUUUAGAAACCGCCUUUCUGCCUUCACCUCUGCCAGCACCACAGGGAUGGGGAACCUCAGCCUGAAAACAGGCAGGGCAGCUCAGGGUGCUACUGCACCAAACCUGCAGCCAGUCAUUGGACCUUUUGUGAGCAUGGAAACAGCAUUUUCUGUCCUGUCUGUCCAUGCAGUCAGAGGUGAGUCCCAGACAUACUGUGAUAUAACAGCGUGUUCUUCCUUUGGGGCAACAGCCACAGCUGAAUUCAUCAGUAGGAAUGGGAUGUCAGGGACUUCCUCAGGUGGAUUGCACUGGGGAUUCACUUCCAGGUGGGAUGCUGUGUCCUGUCACAUUGGGUGCUAACGAUGCCAUUUACACCUACUCCCGCUCUAACCUGAUCACCUCUCCUCAGAUCCAGCUGCUGGCCCUUUGAAGCUCUUGGCCAAAAAGAUUUGGCUCUGUGGUACAAUAUUGCCAAGCUGCUGCAUGAGAAAUGAACCGCACGUAGAGCGUAUGGUUCUGGCAUGCAUCUGUCAACAUAGCUGGCAUAGCUACAUGGGAAUAUGAUGGGAAAAGUCUUGGCUAGAAAAUCUUUCUGCACGCAUAUGAUGAGAGAGAAGGGAAAGACAAUGUUGGAAGAGGACAACUUGGUCCCAGAAGUCAGCAAGUCUCCAAUCAGUACAUCUUACAGCAGUGGCAGCUGCCUCUUCUCCAGUGGUAAGGGGAGAGUGCCCCUGGGAGGACGGCAUUUCAAGGAGAACAGAUUGCAGUUAGCACAGAAAACUUUGCAGAGCCACCUCAGUGAACAUCAGGGACAAAGUGCUGAGGUCCUGCUCCCUGCGGGGUCAGCUUCCACCAACCUCCUCUUUGGUGCUGAACAAAAAGGAGGAAUCGCAGGACGAGAAUGUUGGCAAGAUGAAGAGCAGAUCUCUGGAAGGGUUUGUUCUGGUCUUACUCAUAAGUGGAUCUUUCUUGUCACCCAUUAAUAAAUGGUUUGAUUCAUUUAUACCAUAUUUUGUUUUGGUAAUGACAGUCUGGGAGUUGUUGGAAACCCUUCAAAUACAGAAAUCAUCUUACUGGGAGAGGCAGAAUCAUGCAUUUGUUUUUCCUAAAUUAACAUUCAAAACCAAAUCACCAGAUUUGAUGGGAAUUCCUUCUGAAGCUUCAUGUA